CGGCCUGGGCCCGGGGGUGGGGUGAGGACUGAACUGAAGCGGGGCUGGUUUGUAGCUGUUGGGUUUGGAAGAAUGAGAGGUGAUGCCAGCGGCUCGUCCACUGUGGGCAGCGGCCUCUUCCCUUGCCGCUGCCGCCGGUGAGCGGACCUCCUCUCUCUCUCUCUCUGUUGUUAGUGCCAAUAUGGACCACCACCUCUGGCUGCUCACCCUCCCCUUUCAGAAUGUCCUGGACCUGCUCAGAGACAUCCUUGACCCUGGAACCAGGGAGACUCCAGCACGGUGCCAACAACAGAUGUGAAGUGAACAGGACCACAGUUCCCUGCUGUUUGUCUUCCACCCUUCUCCAACAAUGGGGUCACAUCUGAGGUUUUCCAACCCGCUGGGAUCUUCCUGGAACACAGUGAGUUCUGACAAACUUCAACUGAUGUCUCCAACUUCUCUCCAGCCACUUCCUUUAAACCCUCGAGUGCAGGUCGUUGGGACCCGGUGAUGUUUGCUUUUGGUCCCAUUAGUUUUUCCCCUUGUGAUGGGAUUGUUACAGAUUAUUGAUAGUGUUGAAAUGUUACCCAUCAUGUAUCUUUGGCAUGUUUGCUGUGUGCCCACCGUGAACACUGAUCUAAUUGUUGAGUUAACCCAUCUCCCAUUUCCUUGUUAGCUUGAGGUUUGGAGUCUCUUGUCACUGAUCCCUGAAAACUCCCCAGUCCUCUGGUCCACCACCAGCCCCUGCCAUUUAAUGUGCCUCUGAUUUAAUAUUUCCCUCGACCUCCUUUGUUGACCACAGAAGGUUCAUCUUUCUCCUGGAUCCCUCUGUCUAAUUGGGAUCAGUGUCUGCUGAGCGUUAUGAUCCAGCUGUUUAAACAUCUGCCACUGCUCACCCACUGCCCUGUCCCUGAGCCUAUUUACCCCGUCCACCCCAGACAGCUCCACCCUCACACCCGUGGAACUGCCCUUAUUCAGGGUGAGGCCAUUGGUUCUGGAGCCGGGUGUUCACCCUCACACUGUGUCUGGAAUUCUCCCAUGUUGUGAUCACUUCUUCCUCAGGAUCCUGCACCACAGGAUCUCUCAUUGAUCCCACCUCAUUACACAGACCCACAUCUAACAUGUCCUGUCCCUGGGUAGGUUGUGUAACACACUGCUGUAAGGAACAGUCCCUGCCCACUCCACACAUUCCUCUCCCACGGCACCUUGCCAGUUUGAUGAGUUUAAUCAAUACACAGAUGAAACCACCCAUGACAGUCACAGUUCCCUUCUCCCCUCCCUUUGAUAUUUCCCCAUUCGUGCUCUGUCCCAUCGAGAGGCAACACCUGGGGGUCCAGAGACCACUCCCACCCAUGCCUUCUAUCCCCUACUGUUCAUUAUUUCCCCACAAACCGAUUCCCCAUCACUGUCCCUACAUCUACACCCCCCUCACCCCCACGUGGUGAA
RNA transcript from Pristis pectinata (smalltooth sawfish), 1425 nucleotides. It is a transcript of the gene named histone H4, with no coding region annotated. NCBI's taxonomy places the organism in Eukaryota, Metazoa, Chordata, Chondrichthyes, Rhinopristiformes, Pristidae. The transcript is spliced from 3 exons. The record is from RefSeq and is a predicted model, not a curated record.